Long non-coding RNA from Zophobas morio, 1488 nucleotides. RefSeq lists it as uncharacterized. Lineage: Eukaryota; Metazoa; Arthropoda; Insecta; Coleoptera; Tenebrionidae. The transcript is spliced from 2 exons. The record is from RefSeq and is a predicted model, not a curated record.
CUUACCAUAGAAUUUCAGACCGUACAUACAAACAUCACUGACUGAUAUCACUAUGCAUGAAGAAUUUAUUGUAUGCGAAGUAUUUUUGUCACUUUGCCAAACCAGUGUUAUAAAAUUUCGUGUAAGAUAUUUUUUACCCUUCUGUGAUCUUAUUACUGCCAAAUAUAUUUUGAAACCUUUAUCAAAAAAACAAACAAGGUGUGUUUCGACUCGCAGUUGUUGUUUUUCAGAAUCAGUUUUCUUGGUAUUUCUCGAUUACAAGUGAUGGCAAAAAGGACGCAAUAUGUGUUGUUAACGGCAAAACACAAUAAUUAUUUACUAUACUCGUAUGCAGGGUUACUCCAGUUUUGAUUAUUUAUUUACUGGAUCAAUAGAUUCAAAUAUUUUUGCUUUGAGACUGGAGACAAAAGUGACGAUUUCACAUGAUUUCAUAAAUUCAGUGAGUUUGACAAAGAUAUCGCAGACAUCUCUUCAACGAUGGGCACAUUUUUAUUAGUAGAGUAAAUCGUUCGAACCAUUACGGAAAAAUAAAGGAAGUGGUAACGGCUUCAUUACACGUACAUUACAGAUGACCACAGUUCCAUGUAUACAUACACAUACUACCAUUUGGAGGAUUGUCAAGCGGUGAAUAAAACCAAGAAAAAAGUUUUGCCUAUAUGGCGAAGAUAUAACUAUUUAUGACACAUAUAACGUAGCACUUACUCUGGACAAGGCGCAAGAAACGGCUUGCUAGCAACCAACUCCGCGAAGUUUUCUAAAGCCAACUGGCCUUUCUAUGAACCCAACUACUCGACGUGUUUUGUUUAUGGAAUCCACACGUAUACGCAUAUGGAGUUUACGAAUGUCUUAAAUUUUUAUAUUACAAUAUCCACUAGGUACAUUGUAAAGAAAUGGAUGGCAAGAUACUUUCAAAAAUGUUUUCGAUAUACUGUAGUUCGAGGGGUAAUUAAUUAAUCAAAUGCAGGAUUAGACAAUGAUUAGGUACGGAAUAUUUAAGGUGACCAAAAUGGAUUACUGCCAUGGGAAGGAACAUGACACGAGGCGCAAAUAAUGGUUUACAAAAUAUGUUAUGCGGCGGAUUCAAAUUCGCGCACAGGUAGAUUUUUACGAUUGCUGAGCGGCCGGUGGAGUUUGCGACCGAAGGAUUAAGGAUUAUUUUGUUUAAAAAGUGUUUCCUGGUCGCAAUUAACGACUGGACUUUCUUUAACUACCUUAUUCUUAUUCUUCGUCCAACGAAUGCAUGUGAAUCGUGUUACUUUUUUUCAAUUUCGUUACUUUUCUAUAAAUGGCUUAAAAAUUGUCACAUAGACAUCAGUUACAUCAUGCAAGAGUUGUAAAAACGUUAAACUCAUUUAUGAUAAAAAAGUUCUACAAAAAUGCAGUUUACUGACAGAAAAAUCUACAAAAUUUAGUCAAAUAUAACUUCUAGGCAUGAAUUUGUGAAAUGUGUUUCCUAUCAAUUCAAAUAUAAAUAAACUUUUAAAAAUC